AUGCUCCACCUCCGGCAGCGCGCCCUCUCCCAUCUCCUCUCCGCCGCGCCACCUUCUUCCACCUCCAUACUCCUCUCUCUCCACCGCCUCCUCUCCGCCGCCGCUGCCCCCCGCAUUUCUCCCAACCCUAGGUUCGCCGUGGAGGACUACCUCGUCUCCACCUGCGGCCUCACCCCAGCGCAGGCACUCAAGGCCUCCGCCAGGCUCUCCCACCUCAAGUCCCCCGCCAAGCCCGACGCCGUCCUCGCCUUCCUCGCCGGCAUCGGCCUCACCGGCGCCGAUGUCGCGGCCCUCGUCGCCAGGGACCCGCGGUUCCUCUGCGCCAAAGUGGAGACAACCCUGUCCCCCGUCCUCGCCGGGUUCACCGGCCUCGGUCUAUCGCCUUCUGAUAUCGCGCGCCUCGUCUCGCUCGCCCCGACCGAAUUCCGCCAUAGAUGCGUCGUCUCCAAGCUAGAGUACUACCUUCCACUCUUCGGCUCCAUCGACAACUUGCUCCGGCCGCUCAAAUGCUGCACCGCCUUCCUCGGCUCCCACCUCGAGAGGGUGGUCAAGCCCAACGAGGCCUUCCUGCGGGAGUGCGGGCUAGGUGAUCGUGAUAUUGCCAAGCUGCUCAUCCAAACGCCUAGGAUCCUCACCGCCAAACCAGGGCGCGUCCUGGCGAUGGUUGCGUGCGCCGAAGGUAUAGGUGUGGCCCGUGGCUCUGGAAUGUUCAGGCAAGCGCUGCAAGCCAUCUCAUACGUCGGCGAGGACAAGAUCGCUGCCAAACUGGACUACCUGAAGAAGACACUUAGGUGGUCAGAUACCGAGGUUGGCAUUGCCGUGUCCAAGGGUCCGUUUUUGCUGAGGAGGUCAAAUGACGUGCUGCAGCGUAUGUCAGACUUCCUAAUCUCUGAGGUGGGCUUGCAGCCGGCCUACAUUGCGCAUCGCCCGGCUUUGCUCACUUACAGCCUGGAGGGCCGGCUCAGGCCCCGCUACUAUGUUGUGAGAUUUCUGAAGGAAAAUGGAUUGCUAGAGCACGGGCGGAGCUACUAUACAACACUGGUUAAGACUGAGAAGGUUUUCAUGGAAAAGUUCAUAUGCCCUCACAAGGAAGCCGCACCACACCUUGCUGAAGACUACGCGGCUGCUUGCAAAGGGGAAGUGCCGGCUAGAUUCAGAUUUACAUGA
Molecule: ribosomal RNA, 1167 nt
Filed under: Triticum aestivum (bread wheat)
Lineage: Eukaryota; Viridiplantae; Streptophyta; Magnoliopsida; Poales; Poaceae
Description: partial small subunit ribosomal RNA
Source: RNAcentral